Molecule: unclassified non-coding RNA, 22 nt
Filed under: Mus musculus (house mouse)
Lineage: Eukaryota; Metazoa; Chordata; Mammalia; Rodentia; Muridae
Description: oocyte_clustered_small_RNA873
Source: RNAcentral
CUGCAGCAACAGUUAGCCACUG